This 546-nucleotide ribosomal RNA is filed under the name uncultured bacterium. RNAcentral describes it as "bacterial SSU rRNA". It matches the Rfam family "Bacterial small subunit ribosomal RNA", at positions 355 to 896 of the family's 1533-position model. The record is from RNAcentral.
UGAGGAAUAUUGGGGCAAUGCCCGCAAGGGUGACCCAGCAACGCCGCGUGGAGGAUGAAGGCCGUAAGGUUGUAAACUCCUGUUAGAGGAGAAGAACAGUACCGAUUGGAUCGGUAUUUGACUGUACCCUCAGAGAAAGCCCCGGCUAACUACGUGCCAGCAGCCGCGGUAAUACGUAGGGGGCGAGCGUUAUCCGGAUUUACUGGGCAUAAAGAGGACGUAGGCGGCUCUUCAAGUCGGAUGUAAAAUCUCCCGGCUCAACUGGGAGGGACCAUCCGAUACUGCUGGGCUAGAGGGCAGCAGAGGAAAGCGGAAUUCCCGGUGUAGUGGUGAAAUGCGUAGAUAUCGGGAGGAACACCAGUGGCGAAGGCGGCUUUCUGGGCUGUUUCUGACGCUGAGGUCCGAAAGCGUGGGUAGCAAACAGGAUUAGAUACCCUGGUAGUCCACGCUGUAAACGAUGGACACUAGGUAUGGGGAGUAUCGACCCUCUCCGUGCCGCAGCUAAUGCGUUAAGUGUCCCGCCUGGGGACUACGGUCGCAAGACUA